This is a non-coding RNA of Paraglaciecola psychrophila 170, 358 nucleotides long. It matches the Rfam family "transfer-messenger RNA". Rfam says of the family: Bacterial tmRNA, also known as 10Sa RNA or SsrA, is named for its dual tRNA and mRNA-like properties. The record is from Rfam. Lineage: Bacteria; Pseudomonadati; Pseudomonadota; Gammaproteobacteria; Alteromonadales; Alteromonadaceae.
GGGGCUGAUUUUGGAUUCGACAGGACUCUAGAAGCUUUAGGUGCAUGCAGAGGAGCGGUUUGCCUCUAUAAAAGCCGCAUUUAAAUAGUCGCAAACGACGAAAACUACGCACUAGCCGCUUAAUACCCGGCAGUGCCCUUCCACUCAUACUCUUUCUGCUAGUAGAGGUUCGGAAGGUCAUCCCAGCAGGAUAGCGAGGGAACCUUGUCUAAGGGUGAACCGCGAAAUAGUAUUAGGCCAGCUGCAACGAAAUCCUGUUUGUCGGAGUUCCACGUAGUUAAAUAAAAGACAAAAUAAGCAUGUAGUACCGACGGUUGACGUGUUCUGGACGCGGGUUCAAGUCCCGCCAGCUCCACCA